Molecule: non-coding RNA, 180 nt
Filed under: Lachnospiraceae bacterium
Lineage: Bacteria; Bacillati; Bacillota; Clostridia; Lachnospirales; Lachnospiraceae
Description: 6S RNA
Rfam family: 6S / SsrS RNA
About the family: E. coli 6S RNA was the first non coding RNA to be sequenced, but its function was unknown until recently. It consists of 184 nucleotides that fold into an extended hairpin structure with a large single-stranded internal bulge. The 6S RNA specifically associates with RNA polymerase holoenzyme containing the sigma70 specificity factor.
Source: RNAcentral
CUUAUCCUAGGGUGUGCGAUACUCCUGUUAUUUUGAACCUACAUUACUUUAAACGGGAUUCCAAUAUCUUUAAGCGGAUGUCAGGCCUCCGAUACGCAGUGGAAGGCAGAAACUUAUUUGAGGUUACCCACCUAGCUUUGCUAGGAGUCAAAAUACAGGAACCGGCAUUUUGGGAUAAGG